GCUAACAUGCAGUCGAACGAGAAAGUGGAGCAUCCAUGAGUAAGUGGCGACCGGGUGAGUAACACGUGACUAACCUACCUUCAAGUGGGGGAUAACCUCGGGAAACCGGGACUAAUACCGCAUAACAUCUCUGGGGCGGAAGAACUGGAGAUCAAAGGAGCAAUUCGCUGGAAGAGGGGGUCGCGGCUGAUUAGCUAGUUGGCGGGGUAAUGGCCCACCAAGGCAGAGAUCGGUAGCCGGCCUGAGAGGGCGCACGGCACACUGGAACUGAAACACGGUCCAGACUCCUACGGGAGGCAGCAGUGGGGAAUUUUGCGCAAUGGGGGAAACCCUGACGCAGCAACGCCGCGUGGAGGAUGAAGUCCCUUGGGACGUAAACUCCUUUCGACCGGGACGAUAAUGACGGUACCGGUGGAAGAAGCCCCGGCUAACUUCGUGCCAGCAGCCGCGGUAAUACGAGGGGGGCAAGCGUUGUUCGGAAUUAUUGGGCGUAAAGGGCGCGUAGGCGGUGCGGUAAGUCACCUGUGAAAUCUCUGGGCUCAACUCAGAGUCUGCAGGCGAAACUGCCGUGCUGGAGUAUGGGAGAGGUGCGUGGAAUUCCCGGUGUAGCGGUGAAAUGCGUAGAUUCGGGAGGAACACCUGU
RNAcentral lists this ribosomal RNA (643 nucleotides) under uncultured bacterium. Its description in RNAcentral is "bacterial SSU rRNA". It matches the Rfam family "Bacterial small subunit ribosomal RNA", at positions 46 to 713 of the family's 1533-position model. The record is from RNAcentral.